UUUUUUUUUUUUUUUUUAGGGCCGUAACCAUGGCACAUGGAAGUUCCCAAGCUAGGGGGAUCAAAAUAGAGCUACAGCUGCUGGCCUACACCACAGCCAUGGCAAUGCUGGAUCCUUAACCCACUGAACCUUAACCUACUGAGCAGGACCAGGAGACAAACCCUGUCCUCAUGGAUACCAGUCAGGUUUGUUUCCACUGAGUCAAUAACUGAACGAUGCUUAAUGCUGCCCUUGAGCCCCUGAAGAUGUGGCCCGGGGAACACAGCUAUGCCUCCCCAAGGGAGGCCUGGAGGCUGUCCAUGAGGACAAGCCAGAGAGAAGGGUGUGCCCAAAACGCCCCGUAGGCCCAGCCACUGGCCCACGGACCAACACCCUGGUCAUCCUGCAUUUCUGAGGUAACAGCCCCGCUCAGACUAGACUACUACUUCUUUUUUCUUCCCAUCUCUAAGGUGAACACAUCAGUCCAAGAAUCCCAGAGUCAGGUUCCUAUGGGAAUCUGUCUGCACAUUCCUGCCAGGGCACCAACAAUGGUCAACUUAGGGUGGGAGAUUUAAGUGGGUUCUAUUUCUGUAUUCUCAAAAUCUUCCAAGCCAAACUGUACUGUUUGUGUGUGUGUGUGUGUGUGUGUGUUACUAUUUUUUUUUUCCAGGGCCACACCCAUGGCAUAUGUAUGUUCCCAGGUGUGGCACUAAAAACACAAAAGACAAAAAAAAAAAAAAAAAGUGAAAAGGCAGAGUUCCCUGGUGGCCUACCAGUUGGGAUCCAGCACUGUCACUGCUAUGGCUCAGGUUCAGUCCCUGGCUUGGGAACUUCCACAGGCUGUGGACACAGCCAAAAAAAUAAAUUUAUUAAUUUUUGUAAAAGAAAGAAAGUGAAAGGCAAUCAGAAUCAGAGAAAAUAUUUGCAAAACACCUGUCUGAUAAGGCUCUAGUAUCCAAAAAACACACAAAACAUAAACUCAACAGUGACACAUAAAAGUAGAUAACCAAUUAAAACACAGGCAAUGAAUUUGAACAGACAUUUCUCUAAGGAAGACAUACAAAUAGCUAGUAAGUACAUGAAAAUACGUUCAACAUCAUUAGUCACUAGCUAAAUGCAAAUCAAAAUCACAAUGAGCUACUGCUUCACACCCAUGAGGAUGGCUAAAAGCAAAAUAAUGGAAAAUAACAAGGGUUUAAGGAUAUGGGCAAAUCAGAACGUUCAUACCUUGCUGGUGGGAAUAUGAAACAAAACAAUGCAGUUUUCCACUGUGGAAAACUGAGGCAACUCCUCAAAAUGUUAAAAGGAGUUACUAUAUGACCCAGCACUCCUAGGUACAUACCCCCCAAAAAUGAAAACAUGACACAAAAACUCAUACACAAAUAUUCAUAGCAGCAUUAUUCAUAAUAGCCAAAAAGUGGAAACAGCCCAAUGUCCACGACAUGAUAAAUGAAUAAACAAGAUGUGGUAGAUCCUCUAAUGCACUAUUACUCAGCCACGGAAAAGAAUGAAGCCCUGACACAUGCUGCAGUGUGGGUGAACCUUGAAAACAUUAUGCCAAAUGAAGAAAAGCCAGACACAGACACAUAUGAUUCCAUUUAUAUUAAAUGUCCAGAAUUGGAGAAAGUAGGUUAGCGGUUUCUGGGGUGGGGAGAGAAGGGAAGGCAGAGUGAGUACUUAAUAGGUAUGGGGUUUCUUGUAGGGGUGAAAAAGGUCUGGAAUUACACAGUGGUGAUGAUUACAAAACCUUGUGAAUAUGGCAAAAACUACUAAAUGAUACACUGUAAAAAGGUGAAUUUUAUGGUGAAUAUCUUAGUUUUUAAAAAAUUCCAAUCACAUACAAUCUGAUGCUACUUAAAAGGAGAUCCACAUAAAACAGAUGCUAAAACCAUUUCACGAUCCUCAUCCAGAGAAUAUGCAUCCUUGCAAAGGGAAGAGAAACUCAGAGAUCCCCCUCCCACAGGGACACAGAGGCAGAGACGCCCCCCCCCCAUAGGGACACAGAGGCAGAGACGCCCCCCCCCAUAGGGACACAGAGGCAGAGAACAGGUGCCCCCUUCCCCCAGGGACACAGAGAUUCCCUCCCUGCCACAGGGAGAAAGAGGCAGAGGACAGGUCCUCCCCCUCCCACAGGGACACAGAAGCAGAGAACAGGUGCCUCCUCCCCCAAGGGACACAGAACUGGAAAAGUGAGAAAGUAGGUUAGUGGUUUCUGGGGUGGGGAGAGAAGGGAAGGCAGGGAGAAAGAGGCAGAGGACAGGUCCCCCCCCUCUCACAGGGACAUAGAGGCAGAGAACAGGUGCCCCCUCCCCCCAGGGACACAGAGAUGCCCUCCCUCCCACAGGGAGAAAGAGGCAGAGAACAGGUCUUCCCCCCAACACACAGGGACACAGAAGCAGAGAAUAGGUCCCACCUUCAUGAAGGAAAAUCAGAGGUUAUUUUUUUUUUAAAUGGCACAUUUAAGUUUCACAAAUAACAUUUAUUGACUGUAUUUACAAUGGAAUCUCACCUGCAUUCACAAAAUUACACUUCAACUACAAAUCACCUGAUGAUAAAUAAUUGGACUGACUCUUGAUGUGAAUUAUAUGAUCUGAGAAAACAGAAGCUAUCACAGACCCCUCCUGACUUGACGGCGUUUGUUAAAGACCUUGACUAUGACUGACAUUUUUGUUGAUGUUCUUGACAGAAUGUGAAGAUUCCAACUUCAAACCCCAAAAAACUGGCUAGAAGGCAAAGAGAAAGGCAAUUACUAGGAAAUGCCCCCCAGACGGAAAGCACACAGCCCUUGCAGGGCCUGUGCAGGAAACCUCCGCAAGGUGAAGGGCGAAGGAAGCCCAACAGCGGAGUGGGAUAUGCACUCAGUUCUGAGGAGCCCAGGCAGGAAACUUGGUGCAGCCUUGGCUGGCCCACGCGCCAGCUACGGGACCUGAGGGAAGGCAUCAACCCCCAGAGCACACUCUCCUUCUGGAACUCUGGGAAGAAUCCCAGCUUAGAACGACUGGGGAAGGAAUCCAAUGAAACAAAGGCUAUGGCAAGCCCACUCAGGAGGGCAAGUACCUGACCCAUCCCUGCUCUUCAGGGCUCCCUGUCAGGGAGCUUCAGAGCUCAUCCACCCUCUCGAGGCCCCUGAAGUUCUAGCAAGCCUUUGCCAGGUCAGCAAAUGGGCCAGAAGCUUCUCCUGAGAUAAGCCGGGCGCAUGUUUUGGGAGGUCUCACAGGGCACCCCACAUAUACCUCCAGAAGGUAAGAUAUUUCUCCUGAACAGCUGGUUAGCACCUGACUUCUGACCUGAGAGUCUGGCUCAUAAGCAAACACCUAGUCUACGGCCAUACCACCCUGGACACGCCCGAUCUCAUCUGAUCUGGGAAGCUAAGCAGGGUCGGGCCUAGUUAGUACUUGGAUGGGAGAAGCAAACACCUAUAAAAGCAUUAGCAAUUCUCCUUUGGCCCACCCAGACCAUCUACUCAACAAGGACCAUCCACAGUUAAGGAUCCAGCAUUGCUGUGAGCUGUGAUGUAGGCUGCCGACACAACUCAGAUCUGGUGUUGCUGUGGCUGUGGCUAGGCUGGCAGCUGUAGCUCUGAUUUGACCUUUGGCCUAGGAACUUCCUUAUGCCACGAGUGUGACCCUAAAAAGACAAAAAAAAAAAAAAAUUCUAAUUGUGCACAUUUACAUAUUGAUAUGUAUUUGCAUGUCUUCUAUUUACAUAUCUGUGUGUUUAAGUUUGCAUGUAUUUACAUACAGGUGUGAUGAAAGAAAUAGGAAGAAGCGGCUGGAGGAGGCAAUGGCUGGGGAGAUGGGUAAACUGGGGAGGAGGAGAAGAGCUUCUUCUCAGGAGACUAAAGCAAACAGCCUGGCAAGAAGAAGCCCUGCUGUGAACCUGACAGCACCCUGGAGGCUAGAGGGAUAGGUACUGAGUGAGGUUCCAGGUGAGAAACACAGGCCUGGGCAAGGCUGGUGGGUUCAAGGUGGGAGAAAGGCCUUUUCACUAUGGAGCCUUGAUGGCUGGAGCUGGGUUUGGGGAGAGGUAGAAGGUCCUUCGAGAGUACGCUCAAACCCCAGAGGGCUGGUUGGGCAAGCUGGCUUAAGAUCCACUUCCAACCCCCAACACAAGAGAAAUUUGCAGAAACUGGAACCAGAGAUCUUGUGUGGGCAGAGGUGAGGAAAUAAAGGUGGGUGACCCCAAGAUAUCUCACCUCCCUGCCAGUGGCCCUGGCCUUAGAGUACCUGGAUAGCCCCUCCCUUGCAUCUUCUGGAAGAAGAUACCUGGGUCAGGUAUGAGCAGGAGCUCAGACCACGGUAACGAUGUGACAGCAGUCCCAGCUCUCAUCCUCUGGUGAGUGGCAACCAAGUUCUCCCACACCCUUGAUACAACUAUAAACUGUGCCGGUCCCUGGGCAAAACAGCCCGGGAGUGAGAUGAGCCCAAAGCCACCACUGCUGCACCUGCACCUGCUUACCGGAUGGCCACGAUGACCCUCAGCAGGGCCUGGAGGAAGGUCAGGAGGCUGAGACUGAGGGGCAGGAGGGGGGCCAAGAGGCUUGCUGGCUGCCCUGGGGCCACCGGCUUGGGCUGGUGAAGGGCCCGAAGCUGCUGCCACUUGAGGAGACGGCCCCCUUCACCACAGAUCUGCCAGUACCCGGAGCGCAGGUCCACGGUGGCUUCUAAGCAAAGAAAGUACGUCAGGCUCCAGUGGGGUGUGGGGCCAGGGUGCUCCCGAGUCUGCACCCACGAGAGCCCUCCAGAACCCAGGACAAGGAAAGCAGGUACCCCAGCAAGGCAGGCCACAGCCCUGGAGUGAGACAGAGCCAACAUACUGCGUGUUUCUAAAGUGGCUGUGGGGCUGCAUGGCGAUUUUCUGAGUCUUUACCUUUUAGAGCUACUUCCUGAAAUGUUUAUGGAUAAAAGGAUAUGGCAGUUAGCUGGGAUCUACUCCACUUUUUCCUUUUUUAGCUGAUCAUGGUUGCAGCUGAGUAACGGGAAUAAAGCCUUCAGUGGAGUAUUGGAAAUUUCCCACAAGCUAACAAUCGCCAUGACCACAAACAGAAUUCCAACACUUCCAUCUCCUUGACACUCUUUAGCGAGACCCGCUUUGAUCACAUAUGACUCUCCUGAUAUUAUAUCUAAUUUAUUUUUACUAUGGUACUACUAUAAAAUGUACAUUCUAAUUGUACUAAUAUAAAAAUGCACUAUUAAUAUAAUGUCUAUUUUCCUUAUAAAAAAUUCUACCACAAAAUUAUAAAGAAGGAGUACCCAUUGUGGCUCAGUGGUAAUAAACCCAACUAGUAUCCAUGAGGACACAAGUUCAAUUUCUGGCCUUGCUCAGUGGGUUAAGGAUCCAGCACUGCUGUGAGCUGUGGUAUAGGUCAUAGACACAGCUCAGAUCCUUCACUGCUGCAGCUGUGGCACAGGCCAGCAGCUGCAGCUCCAAUUUGCCCCCUAGCCUGGGAACUUCCAUAUGCUGCAGGUGUGGCCCUAAUUAAAAAAAAAAAAAAAAGUUAUAAAAAAGGAAAGUACAUUUUAGCCUCCUCUUUAUUGGAAAAUACAAGAUCCGAAACACAUAUUUUCUCUUUAAAAUGGAAACCAGCUGGAUGUGAGGCCAAGGGAAAAAUAUCUUUAAAUCACUGUGUAGGAAGCUCAGCUCAAGGAGAGAGCUAUCCUGGUGGCUGCAAUGACACGUGUGCUCUCCCUCCUGUUCUGUGAACACCUUCUGACCUGAAUGGGUUUGAGGCUUGAAACCUUAUUAACACAAACCACCUGAAUUAUAAAACAAUGGCUGGAGUAAAAAUUAAUACUGGUUCUUAACAACAUAUCAAUGGGUGCACGAUUUAACAAUAAACUGAGCUUUUAGGCUUCCUUAAAGAUGCAGAGUGUUCAACGCCAAAAACAACCAAUAAAAAUAUACCCAUAAAUUGGUGAUUAUAUGGUUAGAAGAACAAUUUCUCAGGUGGUUCUCAUCCCACGGCCAUUCCACUUUUUUUUUUAAAUAAAAUGAUUUCUGGCUCUUCUACCUAAAACUCGAGGCAACAUACUGCUUUUUGUGUUGUUCACUGGGCACCCUCUCAAGAGCCUCUCUUUGUGGAGUCUCAUCUGCCCCCUUCCCAGUCCACAAGGGUUAUCUGUCAGCUCAAAACACACCACCCACCUUCAUCUACACACAAACAGAGCUCUCCUUUAUUCAAAUGACAUUAAUGGAGUCCUAUGCAUAGGCUAGAGCCACUUGUUUUGCUAUGUUGGAGUGUGUCUGGGAGUGAUUUCAUUGGCCCAAAUAACUGCGAACUCUAGGUAGCUAAUGCC
This 6275-nucleotide long non-coding RNA is filed under the name Sus scrofa (pig). Lineage: Eukaryota; Metazoa; Chordata; Mammalia; Artiodactyla; Suidae. The record is from RNAcentral.